Molecule: unclassified non-coding RNA, 191 nt
Filed under: plant metagenome
Description: partial contains small subunit ribosomal RNA and internal transcribed spacer 1
Rfam family: Eukaryotic small subunit ribosomal RNA (bases 1-46)
Source: RNAcentral
AAGUCGUAACAAGGUUUCCGUAGGUGAACCUGCGGAAGGAUCAUUAGAGAGACAUUGCCCUUCGGGGUACAUCUCCCACCCUGAUUACCAUACCUGGUUGCUUUGGCGGGUGACACGGCUUCGGCCGACGCCCGCCAGAGGAUAUCAAACUCCAGUCAACUGUCGUCAGAGAAACAAUACAAUAUUUAAAA